Molecule: non-coding RNA, 5702 nt
Organism: Microcebus murinus (gray mouse lemur)
Lineage: Eukaryota; Metazoa; Chordata; Mammalia; Primates; Cheirogaleidae
Source: RefSeq, a predicted model, not a curated record
GCCCCGUGGGAAUCCUCCGGACGAGCCCGGCUGGCCUCUGCCACCCGAGGUCAAGGCACUCAAGGAGCAGCGGCCGCCACCCUUUGAACCUCCUGAAACAUCAUACGCAGAACAUUGCCCGGCGCCCGGGGAGGCACGUCUCUGCUGAGCAAGGCCGAUGUUUGGAUGGUGCUUGGAGAAGGAAAAGGGAUAGAUAACGCCUGACUUUUUGUUCCCAAGGAUUUCAAAGUGCAUUUAGAUGCACAUGAGGUUGCCACUUCACACGGCUGUCUAGAUGACGGUGCAAGAAAUAUUGUCACCUCCUCGACCCCAAGACAGACCCAGAGUGAGACACAGAAGUGUGUCACAAUCUCCGGGCCUCUGCUCAAAUAGCUCAUCCUAUCAGGUGCACGUGAGUGGGGACGUCAUUCUGGGCUCUGGGUGUGGGCACCUUUCUGUUAGUGUGAAGACGUGCUCCCGUCACAGAGAUAAGGUAACUGCGGGUGUAAACAGUCGGUUCACAAACCAGCUCAUGGACGACUCCAGGAGCUGGCGGCUGACCACCCCGGCCUGGGCUGCCUCCUUCCCACCUGAGAACGCCUUCCUCUCUCCAAAGUCCUGCACGGUGCAGCUCGCACCUGAGCCCUGUCCCCAAAGUACCGAGACGCUCGUGGGUUCUCUAGCUCUGAGUUUGGGUCAGACGCUACCCCAAAGCCCUGAGCUAGAACUUUCAAACCCACCCUCCAAACACACACACACAGGCAGCUUCCUGCCAGCUUCAAACCCCGAGGCUACAAACGAGCGUGGCAGGAGAUGCCACUCGUCACCGUGAAAGUCAACAGAUCCUCGUCCCGGUCACAUGAGCGUGAUGAGGCCGUCACGGUGAACAAAUGCUCUCCAGAUGGCACCAGGACAGCCAGCGGGGUCACUCCAGACGGGCCUGGGGAAGACAUUUGGCAUGGAUCAGCGGCACCCAGGACAAACGUGGGGGUGAGUUCAAACCAGGUGCCGCUUCCUCCUUAGCUUCCCUCCCGAUAAUGCAGGAAGAAAUUCCUAUGGGGAAACAAAUCCCAUGUUCUCCAGCUAGUCUCUCUGCUGGUUUGAACUGGCUUCCCAGUGGGGAAUCUCUGCCCCUUUUGCUGGGUCUUGGCAGAGCAAGAAAACAUUUUAACAUCUUACAACGCUGAUAAGUCGCUGGUGCCCACGUGAACGAUGACCGACACCCUCCGAGGGCGGCAGCCUCUCCCUUCGAUGGAGCUUCUUUGACCUCGAUUACCGAACACCAGUGUGUUACUAUGUUCAGAUGCUGUGUAUAAAAUGCUAGAAAUCCAAGUCAAAUUCGCUGAAGCAAGUGGGAAUUCACUGGUCUCCACACCUGGAAGACGCAGGAGGACCUGGCUUCAGGUACUGGCGUCACCGGGCCCCACUUCCCCCAGGAGCAGGGCUUGGUCUCGGGACGGCUUUUCUAGGAGGGGCAGAGCUUGUCACAGCAGCUGGACCUCCGUCUUCCAGCCUGGAAACGCUGCCCAGAGACUCCCUGUAAAGGGCCUUGGGUCCCAUGGGACCAGGCUGGGGCAGAGCCGCACCGGCGUCAACCACCGGAGCCACCACUCGGGUACGUCCACCCUAGGCCCGUGCGCUGUGGGGGAUGGAGGGAGGGACAGACGGCCUGUGGACAGGCAGGAAGUGUGCAGACGAAGGAACAAAACGUCUGCUCCAAGUCGUGCAGAAGCACCCCUUCGGGAGAGACACCGGAACAUUUUUAGGGUGAUCGUGUCUGUGCCAGCCAAGUUUCACCUUUCCCUGUUCUUAGGUGCCUCAGUGUGGGUGGGCAGAGGGCGGCACGGCUUGUAAACACGUGAGCAAGUGUCGCCCCUGGGCAACCGGCUGUUGCAUCCUGGGGGGAUCUGCAGUCCCCGUGACAUUUGGGAACGUGUUGUUGUUCAGGGUGGGGCCGCUGGUGAGAACAGACCGUCCCAGCUCUCUGCCAAGGGUGUCACGCCCACGUGGGUGAGGACGCACGGAGGCGAGAGGGCCCCACCAGGAAACCGAGCUUCAUUUCAGAGACUCUUCAGGAGCAGGCUCUGUGGGGACAUUGGUGUGUCCUCAAAGUCCUGCUACAGGGAAACACGUGGCACCAUACCAAACAACCAGGGCUAGCACUGCUGGUCCAGGGCGAGGUCCCCCACAAAUGCAGUCCAGCCAGGGCCAAGCCACCCUGUGUUCACGUUCCACCCCCACCAGGGUCCUCACAGGCUCCUGCCUGGGUGCAGGAGAUGGGGGUGCGGUGGGGGGUGGACAGGUGCAGGCAGAGGUCCCUCCUGGAGGGUCUGUGGGGGGGGACCCGGAACACAGCAGUCCCUACUGCCUCUCGGAGAAAGGAACGUGCCUGUCAAAAGCGAAGAGAAAAGAGAGAGAGGAAAACAGACUCCCCAUGGGAACAGGCGCUGCCACCAGAUGCCCCGCAGUGUGGUGCUUAGUGCCGAGGUUGGAGGGAACGUGUGCCAAGCCCCUGUCACCACAGUGAAUGUACGAGGAGCAGGACAGAGCCCUCCUGGCUCACGGGCUGGAAUGAGGUUCAGAUGGCAUCGUUUGUUCAUUCAUGGACAGUCACCACGCACCCACUGCAGGCCAGCACAGCUCCAGGCACCUGACAAAGGGGAAGGAGACCCGUGACUGUCACACGGCAGCCAAGCAGGGGGCAUCGCCGUCUGAGUGCGGACCCUGCAGGUAAGCCCACGGGACCCGCAGCCCUUGUGGCCCGGGCUGGGCUGCUUGUUCCACCGGAUCAGGCGGGCCAGACAACCACGAUCUCACACCUCUGCCUUUCCCCAUUUCUAAAGUGCCCCCCUGCCCACCUUGCGGUCCUCCGAUCCUCUCGGUGGUGGGGCUGGGUUAAGCCCCAGCUCUGCGCGCAGACGGCCCCUGACCUCACUGGGAAGAGAAAGUGAAAUCCUAACCUUGGCCUCUAUAUCAAGACACAGGGACAAAGACAAACUCAAAAUUCUUCAAGUGGUUGAAAUAAGCAUUCCAGGAAAACGGUGAAAGCAACUCAGUAGAACUCCACCUGAAUGCUCAUUAGAAGCCGUAAGUGGAGACAGCGAUCAGUGCAUGAAAACACACAGGACGUUCUGUUAUGAGGGAAACGAAGACAUAACACGCACCCGCCAGCACGCCUGUGCUAAAUUCCUGGCUGAGGUGGGAAAUGCGGCUCCCGAAGCUGGGAGGCGAGUCCAGGAGCAGCUCCUGCCCCCCGCACGGGGUCCCUUCCCCGACGUGAAUGGGCAGGUGCCCUCGUGGCUACGAUCACACCAGAGGGAGGACUGUGUGCCACCACCAGGCUCUGGGACCACGGCGUGGACGCGUGGGCACGCUGGAGGGCAGAGAAGAACAGAGAAAAGAAAACAGCCAAAUCUGUCUACAAGAUACGACACUGGGGAUUGAGGAAUUGGCACCAAAUCGGAGGAGGAAAACUGACCUACGACAGACCCACACCAAGAACAAGGAACAGAGAGAGAGGAGACGAACGGCCCAGUGAGUUCUGACACUCAUCUCCACGUCCCCUGAAUGAACGAGUUCCAGGACAAGGGACCUCAACAGAGCCCAUGGCAGGUGGCUGAACAGGCAUUUCAGAGUUGUCACAUUAUGUACUUUAAACAUUAUGGUUUGUUUUGAAUAAUAUUGGUUACUCAAAGUUUCAACCCAUGGUUGAAAUUCACAAGGUAUUUAAAUACAUAGUAAAAGAGGUUUGAAACUAAACCAACUGUUUUCCCAUAACAUUGCUCUCAGCUCACCCUAAAACUGUGACGUGUUAUUUGCAAUACGAAGGUACCAGUGAGGUCUAAUUGAGCACAUUCUGUGUGUGUCUCCACGCUGACUCGGUUUACAAACUGAUGUGACUCGGCAAGGUACGUACCCCAAGAAACUCUGAAAGGUACAUACCCCAAGAAACUGAAAGCAAAGACCCGGAGACAUUUGCACACUGUGUUCAAAGCAGCAUUUGCCACAACAGCCAGAGCAUGAAGCGACCCAAGUGUCAAAUGCCUGAUAGACGAAUAAAAUGUGGUCCAUCCACACAGUGGAAUAUUAUUCAGCCUUGAAAAGGAACUUCUGAUGCACGGAUGGAUCUUGAGGAUAGCGUGUCCAGUGAAAUAGGCCAGUCACCGAAGGACUGAUACCGUAUGAUUCCACUUAAACGAGGACCUGGAGCAGGUGGAUUCGCAGAGACAGAAAGGACGGUGGGUGCCAGGGGCUGGAGCAGAGAGAGGGAGUGUUUAACGAGGACAGAGUUGCAGUUUGAGAGGAUGAGAAAGUUCUGGAGAUGGAUGGUGGUGAUGGCUGCACAACAGUGUGAACGUGCUUAAUGCCCCAGAACUGUGCACUUAAGGACAGUUAUGGGCCGGGCGCGGUGGCUCACGCCUGGAAUCCUGGGUGACAGAGCAAGACCCCGUCUCAAAAGAGUUAUGGUAAAUUAUAUGUAAUGUGCAUUUUAUCACAAUAAAAAAUUGAAUUGGGGGGAGAAAAAAAGUUACUAGAUCAGAAAAAGUCAUUGUUACACUCUCCAGACAUCUUCCUGCUUCUACUUUUCUCACAGGGAAGGGCAACGAUAGGGACACAGGUGGCACCUGCCCUGUAAGGGCCUCUGAUGCACUCGACUUUCGGCCCCAGGAGAAUAUCACUUCGAGGGUGAGAGAUCUCUGGACGCCUCCAGCCCGGCUCUUUGGAACAAAAUGAGACAAAGGGAAAGUGGCUUCUCUCCCCGUUGCUUUUAUGGGCCCCAGCUCUGCCAGCCACCAGGGCUUGAGUUCCAGGGUGACCUUGGGGUUCACCUGCUGCCUCCUUCACCUACCCUACCCACGGCCACUCAGGUGUGGCCCCUACCUCUGGGGCCUCCCUGCUGCCCAACUCCACACGGACACCAGACUGAUCUUCCCAAAGCACCCAAAUUCCUCGGUUACUCCAAAGCAUCCGGGGCUCGCUGCUGCCUGCUAAGCAAAAUCUCAGCUCCAGGCCUGCUGGUCGGGGAGACUCUGGGGACUUCACACUCUCUGCUCUCCCCUGGCAGGGCCUACGGCCCGUCCCUGAUGGGGGUGGUUGAGUGCACAGGCUCUGGAGUGAGAUCUGGACUCGACUCCUCGCUCCACCUCACCUCUCUAUCCAGUGUCCUCACUAGAGAAAAGGAUGCUGAUGACACAGGUCUCAGAGGACAUGAGACACCAACAGGAAACGCAGUCGUCAUCUGCCUUUGCCAAACAUAUCUGGGUUCUGCUGACCUCGUGUGCUCUACCUCGAAUGUCUAAGCCUCACUCCCCUGCGGGUCCAGCUCAAAGCCCACCUUCUCCAGGAGCCCUCGCUCCUCUGAACACUGUUCUUGGGAGUGUUCAGCCCCAAGGCGGAGGUUUCCUGCCCUGUCUCACAACCUGACGCCUUGUGUUCCUCCAGGGCACAGCCACCUGGUCGAGGCGGUGACAACAAACAGCCCAUGCAAUGCAGCAUCCCUGGCACCAGAGACAACUGCUGAAUGGAGAAGGGUCCCAGCAGAUGUUGACAUGACGGUGACUCCAGAAAUCAUUUAAACACUGGACUCCUCAAGGCUGAGUAUUUUUGCUGCUGGAUAUUUAAAACAAAGGGGAGCUUCAAAAAGGAAGGUGGUGGCCAGGCACAGUGGCACAUGUCUAUAAUCCCAGCACUCUGGGAGGCAAACUGAGCCCAAGGGUUCUAGA